Molecule: non-coding RNA, 102 nt
Filed under: Buttiauxella sp. JUb87
Lineage: Bacteria; Pseudomonadati; Pseudomonadota; Gammaproteobacteria; Enterobacterales; Enterobacteriaceae
Source: RNAcentral
CGGAUUUGGUGACUGUUCCCGCAUGGUUCAGUUACCUUGGUUAAGCAGUUCCCCAACUGACUUAACCUUCGAAAAAACCACCCUAACAGGUGGUUUUUUCGU